CCGUUUCCAAACGGCAUCAGCUUAUAAGCAUAGUACUCGCUGCCGCAUCCGUUGUCAAACCGAUCGGGGUUAAACCGCUCCGGUUCGUCCCAGAACUCUGAAUCUCUCUGUAUAGCCCAAGCGUUAACCAGCACCGUCGUGUCGCGCGGUACGUCGUAACCGCCUAUCUUCAUGUCCUCCGUUUUUUUUUUUUGGUAAAAUAAAACUGUUUUGGGUAAACAUUUUAUAGUGACUAGACUCCACCGCAAGCGGUGCCCCAAAUCCAGGAAAAUCCCUUAGGAUUUUUUUGGAGAGUCAUAGUACCACCGCGCCGACAGAGAGUCGAACCUGCGACCUCUGGCAGUCGUCUGUGAAGCUAUCAUGUCC
Molecule: long non-coding RNA, 366 nt
Filed under: Brassica rapa (field mustard)
Lineage: Eukaryota; Viridiplantae; Streptophyta; Magnoliopsida; Brassicales; Brassicaceae
Description: long non-coding RNA (BRAP_LNC000021)
Source: RNAcentral